RNAcentral lists this ribosomal RNA (491 nucleotides) under uncultured bacterium. RNAcentral's name for it is "bacterial SSU rRNA". It matches the Rfam family "Bacterial small subunit ribosomal RNA", at positions 28 to 526 of the family's 1533-position model. The record is from RNAcentral.
AACGAACGUUGGCGGCGUGGAUUAGGCAUGCAAGUCGAACGAAUCCCACCUGGGUAACUGGGUGGGGGAAGUGGCGAAAGGGGCAGUAAGGCGUGGGUAACCUGCCCCGGAGUUGGGAAUAGCCUCUCUAACGAGAGGGUAAUACCCGAUGUCCUGGCGGAGGGGAUCUCUCUGUCAAGAAAGCUCAGGCGCUCCGGGAGGGGCCCACGUGGUAUUAGCUAGUUGGUGGGGUAACGGCCCACCAAGGCCAAGAUGCCUAGCAGGUGUGAGAGCACGACCUGCGCCACUGGCACUGGGACACUGGCCAGACUCCUACGGGAGGCUGCAGUCGAGGAUCUUCGGCAAUGGGCGCAAGCCUGACCGAGCGACGCCGCGUGUGCGAUGAAGGCCUUCGGGUUGUAAAGCACUGUCGAGGGGGAGAAAAACCGCAAGGUUUGAUCGACCCCUGGAGGAAGCACGGGCUAAGUUCGUGCCAGCCGCCGCAGUAAAAC